This 841-nucleotide ribosomal RNA is filed under the name Proteus vulgaris. RNAcentral's name for it is "bacterial SSU rRNA". The stretch from base 86 to 841 matches the Rfam family "Bacterial small subunit ribosomal RNA". Lineage: Bacteria; Pseudomonadati; Pseudomonadota; Gammaproteobacteria; Enterobacterales; Morganellaceae. The record is from RNAcentral.
GGGGGGAAGAGAUUUGCCAGUGUGUAUGCUAGAGAAAAUGGCGGGAGGAUUUGUGAGGGUGAUGCGUGUGGGUGGAAGAGGGGCCCCCAUGGAGGAAAAGAAUGACGGUUUCAGGUUGGGAGAGGGUAGGGGGGCCACCCUGGAUUUAGAUCACGUGGUUGUUCGCACGGUAAAGGACGUCGAUUUAGAGGGUGGGGUCUUGAGCUGAGGCUUCUGGAGCUGACGGGUUAAAUCGACCGCCUGGGGAGUACGGCCGCAAGGUUAAAACUCAAAUGAAUUGACGGGGGCCCGCACAAGCGGUGGAGCAUGUGGUUUAAUUCGAUGCAACGCGAAGAACCUUACCUACUCUUGACAUCCAGCGAAUCCUUUAGAGAUAGAGGAGUGCCUUCGGGAACGCUGAGACAGGUGCUGCAUGGCUGUCGUCAGCUCGUGUUGUGAAAUGUUGGGUUAAGUCCCGCAACGAGCGCAACCCUUAUCCUUUGUUGCCAGCGCGUAAUGGCGGGAACUCAAAGGAGACUGCCGGUGAUAAACCGGAGGAAGGUGGGGAUGACGUCAAGUCAUCAUGGCCCUUACGAGUAGGGCUACACACGUGCUACAAUGGCAGAUACAAAGAGAAGCGACCUCGCGAGAGCAAGCGGAACUCAUAAAGUCUGUCGUAGUCCGGAUUGGAGUCUGCAACUCGACUCCAUGAAGUCGGAAUCGCUAGUAAUCGUAGAUCAGAAUGCUACGGUGAAUACGUUCCCGGGCCUUGUACACACCGCCCGUCACAGCCAUGGGAGUGGGUGCAAAAGAAGUAGGUAGCUUAACCUUCGGGAGCGCGCUACCACUGAUCAGUGGUUAA